CCUACGGGGCGCAGCAGUGAGGAAUAUUGGUCAAUGGACGGAAGUCUGAACCAGCCAUGCCGCGUGCAGGAAGACGGCUCUAUGAGUUGUAAACUGCUUUUGUACAAGGGUAAACCUGAAUACGUGUAUUCAGCUGAAAGUACUGUACGAAUAAGGAUCGGCUAACUCCGUGCCAGCAGCCGCGGUAAUACGGAGGAUCCAAGCGUUAUCCGGAUUUAUUGGGUUUAAAGGGUGCGUAGGCGGAUUGGUAAGUUAGAGGUGAAAUGUCCGAGCUUAACUCGGGAACUGCCUCUAAUACUGUUGAUCUAGAGAGUAGAUGCGAUAGGCGGAAUGUAUGGUGUAGCGGUGAAAUGCUUAGAGAUCAUACAGAACACCGAUUGCGAAGGCAGCUUACCAAUCUAUAUCUGACGUUGAGGCACGAAAGCGUGGGGAGCGAACAGGAUUAGAUACCCCAGUAGUC
Molecule: ribosomal RNA, 460 nt
Filed under: uncultured bacterium
Lineage: Bacteria
Description: partial 16S ribosomal RNA
Rfam family: Bacterial small subunit ribosomal RNA
Source: RNAcentral